UAGGGAAUCUUCCGCAAUGGGCGAAAGCCUGACGGAGCAAUGCCGCGUGAGUGAUGAAGGUCUUCGGAUCGUAAAACUCUGUUAUUAGGGAAGAACAAAUGUGUAAGUAACUAUGCACGUCCUGACGGUACCUAAUCAGAAAGCCACGGCUAACUACGUGCCAGCAGCCGCGGUAAUACGUAGGUGGCAAGCGUUAUCCGGAAUUAUUGGGCGUAAAGCGCGCGUAGGCGGUUUUUUAAGUCUGAUGUGAAAGCCCACGGCUCAACCGUGGAGGGUCAUUGGAAACUGGAAAACUUGAGUGCAGAAGAGGAAAGUGGAAUUCCAUGUGUAGCGGUGAAAUGCGCAGAGAUAUGGAGGAACACCAGUGGCGAAGGCGACUUUCUGGUCUGUAACUGACGCUGAUGUGCGAAAGCGUGGGGAUCAAACAGG
RNAcentral lists this ribosomal RNA (429 nucleotides) under Actinomycetes bacterium. RNAcentral's name for it is "Actinobacteria bacterium partial 16S ribosomal RNA". It matches the Rfam family "Bacterial small subunit ribosomal RNA", at positions 355 to 776 of the family's 1533-position model. The record is from RNAcentral. Lineage: Bacteria; Bacillati; Actinomycetota; Actinomycetes.